UGGGAAUUUUGGACAAUGGGCGCAAGCCUGAUCCAGCCAUGCCGCGUGCGGGAAGAAGGCCUUCGGGUUGUAAACCGCUUUUGUCAGGGAAGAAAUCUUCUGAGUUAAUGCCUCGGGAGGAUGACGGUACCUGAAGAAUAAGCACCGGCUAACUACGUGCCAGCAGCCGCGGUAAUACGUAGGGUGCAAGCGUUAAUCGGAAUUACUGGGCGUAAAGCGUGCGCAGGCGGUUUUGUAAGACAGAGGUGAAAUCCCCGGGCUCAACCUGGGAACUGCCUUUGUGACUGCAAGGCUUGAGUGCGGCAGAGGGGGAUGGAAUUCCGCGUGUAGCAGUGAAAUGCGUAGAUAUGCGGAGGAACACCGAUGGCGAAGGCAAUCCCCUGGGCCUGCACCUGACGCUCAUGCACGAAAGCGUGGGGAGCAAACAGGAUUAGAUACCCUGGUAGUCCACGCCCUAAAACGAUGUCAACUGGUUGUUGGGAAAGGUUCCUUCUCAGUAACGUAGCUAACGUGUGAAGUUGACCGCCUGGGGAGUAC
RNAcentral lists this ribosomal RNA (537 nucleotides) under uncultured bacterium. Its description in RNAcentral is "partial 16S ribosomal RNA". It matches the Rfam family "Bacterial small subunit ribosomal RNA", at positions 356 to 883 of the family's 1533-position model. The record is from RNAcentral.